CAGGGAGACAACAAAAUGUUUAAUAUUAUUAUUUUGUCACCUUAGGUCGAUCGGUAUCUCACGUUUUUAAUUUAUUAAGAAUUUCAUUUCCUAAGUUUUUCUAGGUCACACCCAUUUUUUCCUGGGCCAUUAGCUCAAGUGGUUAGAGCGCACCCCUGAUAAGGGUGAGGUCCCUGGUUCAAGUCCAGGAUGGCCCAUAUCUCUAUGUUGGGGGUAUAGCUCAGUUGGUAGAGCGCCUGCUUUGCAAGCAGGAUGUCGGCGGCUCGAGUCCGCUUACCUCCACUGAUUACCACCUCUUCCAUAACCGGUAGAAAGGAAAUGUUUUGAGUUGUGAUCAAAUUCUGAAAGAAUCUAGCUUCCUAAUGAAAUCAUUAAGAUGCUGGACUCAUUGAAUUAAUUUCAUUGUUUUCAGAGAACCUUGACAACUGCAUAGAUUAUUUUUAAAGACAAUAAGCAUCUUUAUGAUGCAGAUUUAUUAUUUGUGCGAAUGCAUUAAUAACAAUUCUAUUAAGCUGAUGCUUCAAUUUUUGAAGUUAUU
This 538-nucleotide transfer RNA is filed under the name uncultured cyanobacterium. RNAcentral describes it as "partial 16S-23S ribosomal RNA intergenic spacer". The stretch from base 124 to 197 matches the Rfam family "tRNA". The record is from RNAcentral. Lineage: Bacteria; Bacillati; Cyanobacteriota.